Molecule: ribosomal RNA, 456 nt
Filed under: uncultured bacterium
Lineage: Bacteria
Description: bacterial SSU rRNA
Rfam family: Bacterial small subunit ribosomal RNA
Source: RNAcentral
AACGAACGCUGGCGGCAGGCUUAACACAUGCAAGUCGAACGCUCGUAGCAAUACGGGAGUGGCGGACGGGUGAGUAACGCGUGGGAACGUGCCCUGAGGUACGGAAUAACUGAGGGAAACUUCAGCUAAUACCGUAUGAGCCCCGAGAGGGGGAAAGAUUUAUCGCCUUGGGAGCGGCCCGCGUCGGAUUAGCUAGUUGGUGGGGUAACGGCCUACCAAGGCUUUGAUCCGUAGCUGGUCUGAGAGGACGAUCAGCCACACUGGGACUGAGACACGGCCCAGACUCCUACGGGAGGCAGCAGUGGGGAAUCUUGCGCAAUGGGGGGCAACCCUGACGCAGCCAUGCCGCGUGAACGAUGAAGGCCUUAGGGGUUGUAAAGUUCUUUUACCCGUGACGAUGAUGACGGUAACGGGGGAAUAAGCUCCGGCUAACUUCGUGCCAGCAGCCGCGGUAAU